GGCCAGCCGCCCCGGUAAUACGGAGGGUGUGAGGGUUAAUCGGAAUUAUUGGGCGUAAAGCGCGCGUAGGUGGAUUGUUAAGUCAGAUGUGAAAGCCCCGGGCUCAACCUGGGAAUUGCAUUUGAUACUGGCAGUCUAGAGUAUGGUAGAGGGUAGUGGAAUUCCUGGUGUAGCAGUGAAAUGCGUAGAUAUCAGGAGGAACAUCAGUGGCGAAGGCGACUACCUGGACCAAUACUGACACUGAGGCGCGAAAGCGUGGGUAGCGAACGGGAUUAGAUA
Molecule: ribosomal RNA, 279 nt
Filed under: uncultured bacterium
Lineage: Bacteria
Description: partial 16S ribosomal RNA
Rfam family: Bacterial small subunit ribosomal RNA
Source: RNAcentral